RNAcentral lists this ribosomal RNA (637 nucleotides) under Agromyces sp. So2Pw_1283. Its description in RNAcentral is "bacterial SSU rRNA". It matches the Rfam family "Bacterial small subunit ribosomal RNA", at positions 381 to 1019 of the family's 1533-position model. Lineage: Bacteria; Bacillati; Actinomycetota; Actinomycetes; Micrococcales; Microbacteriaceae. The record is from RNAcentral.
GCCUGAUGCAGCAACGCCGCGUGCGGGAUGACGGCCUUCGGGUUGUAAACCGCUUUUAGUAAGGAAGAAGGGAAGCUUGCUUCUUGACGGUACUUGCAGAAAAAGGACCGGCUAACUACGUGCCAGCAGCCGCGGUAAUACGUAGGGUCCGAGCGUUGUCCGGAAUUAUUGGGCGUAAAGAGCUCGUAGGCGGUUUGUCGCGUCUGCUGUGAAAUCCCGAGGCUCAACCUCGGGUCUGCAGUGGGUACGGGCAGACUGGAGUGCGGUAGGGGAGAAUGGAAUUCCUGGUGUAGCGGUGGAAUGCGCAGAUAUCAGGAGGAACACCGAUGGCGAAGGCAGUUCUCUGGGCCGUAACUGACGCUGAGGAGCGAAAGCGUGGGGAGCGAACAGGAUUAGAUACCCUGGUAGUCCACGCCGUAAACGUUGGGCGCUAGAUGUGGGGACCUUUCCACGGUUUCCGUGUCGUAGCUAACGCAUUAAGCGCCCCGCCUGGGGAGUACGGCCGCAAGGCUAAAACUCAAAGGAAUUGACGGGGGCCCGCACAAGCGGCGGAGCAUGCGGAUUAAUUCGAUGCAACGCGAAGAACCUUACCAAGGCUUGACAUAACCGAGAACGCCGCAGAAAUGUGGAACUCUUU